This 254-nucleotide ribosomal RNA is filed under the name uncultured bacterium. RNAcentral describes it as "partial 16S ribosomal RNA". It matches the Rfam family "Bacterial small subunit ribosomal RNA", at positions 524 to 776 of the family's 1533-position model. The record is from RNAcentral.
UACGUAGGCAGCGAGCGUUGUUCGGAGUUACUGGGCGUAAAGGGUGUGUAGGCGGUUGUUUAAGUUUGGUGGGAAAUCUCCCGGCUCAACUGGGAGGGUGCGCCGAAUACUGAAUGACUUCGAGUGUGGGAGAGGUGAGUGGAAUUCCUGGUGUAGCGGUGAAAUGCGUAGAUAUCAGGAGGAACACCGGUGGUGUAGACGGCUCACUGGACCAUAACUGACGCUGAGACACGAAAGCCAGGGGAGCAAACGGG